AUUGAACGCUGGCGGCAGGCCUAACACAUGCAAGUCGAGCGGAUGAAGGGAGCUUGCUCCUGGAUUCAGCGGCGGACGGGUGAGUAAUUCCUAGGAAUCUGCCUUGUAGUUGGGGAUAACGUCCGUAAACGGGCGCUAAUACCGCAUACGUCCUGAGGUAGAAAGUGGGGGAUCUUCGGACCUCACGCUAUCAGAUGAGCCUAGGUCGGAUUAGCUAGUUGGUGGGGUAAAGGCCUACCAAGGCGACGAUCCGUAACUGGUCUGAGAGGAUGAUCAGUCACACUGGAACUGAGACACGGUCCAGACUCCUACGGGAGGCAGCAGUGGGGAAUAUUGGACAAUGGGCGAAAGCCUGAUCCAGCCAUGCCGCGUGUGUGAAGAAGGUCUUCGGAUUGUAAAGCACUUUAAGUUGGGAGGAAGGGCAGUAAGUUAAUACCUUGCUGUUUUGACGUUACCAACAGAAUAAGCACCGGCUAACUUCGUG
Molecule: ribosomal RNA, 484 nt
Filed under: uncultured bacterium
Lineage: Bacteria
Description: partial 16S ribosomal RNA
Rfam family: Bacterial small subunit ribosomal RNA
Source: RNAcentral